ACGUGGGUGAUCUGCCCUGCACUUCGGGAUAAGCCUGGGAAACUGGGUCUAAUACCGGAUAGGACGAUGGUUUGGAUGCCAUUGUGGAAAGUUUUUCGGUGUGGGAUGAGCUCGCGGCCUAUCAGCUCGUUGGUGGGGUAAUGGCCUACCAAGGCGUCGACGGGUAGCCGGCCUGAGAGGGUGUACGGCCACAUUGGGACUGAGAUACGGCCCAG
Molecule: ribosomal RNA, 215 nt
Filed under: uncultured Actinomycetales bacterium
Lineage: Bacteria; Bacillati; Actinomycetota; Actinomycetes; Actinomycetales
Description: partial 16S ribosomal RNA
Rfam family: Bacterial small subunit ribosomal RNA
Source: RNAcentral